This 440-nucleotide ribosomal RNA is filed under the name uncultured bacterium. RNAcentral's name for it is "partial 16S ribosomal RNA". It matches the Rfam family "Bacterial small subunit ribosomal RNA", at positions 339 to 795 of the family's 1533-position model. The record is from RNAcentral.
CUACGGGGGGCUGCAGUCGAGAAUUUUGGGCAAUGGGCGAAAGUCUGACCCAGCAAUGCCGCGUGCGGGAUGAAGGUCUUCGGAUUGUAAACCGCUGUCGAGGGGGACGAAAUUUGACGGUACCCCUAGAGGAAGCCACGGCUAACUACGUGCCAGCAGCCGCGGUAAUACGUAGGUGGCGAGCGUUGUUCGGAUUUAUUGGGCGUAAAGGGUCCGCAGGGGGUUGAUUAAGUCUGACGUGAAAUCCCUGAGCUUAACUCAGGAACUGCGUUGGAGACUGGUUGACUAGAGUGUUGGAGAGGUGAUUGGAAUUCCAGGUGUAGCGGUGGAAUGCGUAGAUAUCUGGAAGAACAUCGAAAGCGAAGGCAGAUCACUGGACAAUGACUGACCCUCAGGGACGAAAGCAUGGGGAGCAAACAGGAUUAGAUACCCUGGUAGUC